UAAGUAGGCGGUGGAAAAUGAACCAAAUGGGAUUCCUUAAGUAAUUGCGAAUGAACAAGGAAAUGCUCAGCUUGAAAAAUGGGGCCUUUGGCUUUGAAUUGUAAUUUUGAAAUGUAUUGCCAAUGGAGGCGCAGGUGCAAGCCUAUUGAAAGAAAGCGUCAAUGAGGGUGAAAUUCCUUUUUGUCAUUUGCAGUCCUCCGUGCACGGUAUAUAUUUGACGAGUCACACUCCUCGGCAUUGGAAUGCAAAGUGGGUGGUAAAUUCCAUGUAAAGGUAAAUAUAUUAUUGAGACUGAUAGCAAACAAGUACCAUGAGGGAAAUAUGAAAAGGACUUUGAAAAGGGAAUUAAAAGAGUCUGCAUUUGCUGAACAGAAAGCAAACAGAAUUGAUGUGCUUGGUGAGAUUGUUGUGCCCACUCUGUCAUUUAUGUCGGAUGUGGGUGCGAUGGUUCUUACCUUGAAUGUCAGCUUCUAUUUCUGCAAAUCAUUACCCUUGCACAUGAAUGGUAAUUUGCCUGCGGGUAUUGGAAUGUGUGUGUUUGCAAUGAUUUGUGAUUUGAUGCAUGUGGUUGGUGGACUUUGUAUGUGCUGUUUUGCCAACGGGGAAGGGACUCUUCCUUGAGCACUGCAAGCCCUUGCACAUUAAUGCUGGCAAAAUGUUUCUGCUUGACCCG
RNAcentral lists this ribosomal RNA (673 nucleotides) under Alexandrium minutum. Its description in RNAcentral is "LSU rRNA". It matches the Rfam family "Eukaryotic large subunit ribosomal RNA", at positions 43 to 651 of the family's 3401-position model. The record is from RNAcentral. Lineage: Eukaryota; Dinophyceae; Gonyaulacales; Pyrocystaceae.